This 451-nucleotide ribosomal RNA is filed under the name uncultured bacterium. RNAcentral describes it as "partial 16S ribosomal RNA". It matches the Rfam family "Bacterial small subunit ribosomal RNA", at positions 29 to 523 of the family's 1533-position model. The record is from RNAcentral.
AACGAACGCUGGCGGCAGGCUUAACACAUGCAAGUCGAACGGUUGUAGCAAUACAGCAGUGGCAGACGGGUGAGUAACACGUGGGAACCUUCCUAGGGGUACGGAACAACUCAGGGAAACUUGAGCUAAUAACGUAUACGUCCGUGAGGAGAAAGAUUUAUCGCCCUUAGACGGGCCCGCGUCGGAUUAGCUAGUUGGUGGGGUAACGGCCAACCAAGGCGACGAUCCGUAGCUGAUCUUAGAGGAUGAUCAGCCACACUGGGACUGAGACACGGCCCAGACUCCUACGGGAGGCAGCAGUGGGGAAUCUUGGACAAUGGGCGCAAGCCUGAUCCAGCCAUGCCGCGUGAGUGAAGAAGGUCUUCGGAUUGUAAAGCUCUUUUGCCAGGGACGAUAAUGACGGUACCUGGAGAAUAAGCCCCGGCAAACUUCGUGCCAGCAGCCGCCGUAA